Molecule: non-coding RNA, 73 nt
Organism: Parastagonospora nodorum SN15
Lineage: Eukaryota; Fungi; Ascomycota; Dothideomycetes; Pleosporales; Phaeosphaeriaceae
Source: the annotation of a RefSeq genome assembly
CUCCGCUUGGUGUAGUUGGUGUAAGUUUCGGUGUUCAAUCGAAAGGUCUCUAGUUCGAUUCUGGAAGCGGAGA